AGAUUAAACACAGACAACCAAAUUUAUGUUUGCUACCAACGCAACUUUUGCAUACCUACACUAAACGGAUCCGGAUCCUCUCCACACCUUUCUCUCCAACCAUCUACCAAAGCUUUUCACUACAACUUGACACCUCAUUAAUGAAGGCAUCCGACGGCUGAGAUUAAACCAGCAACUUGCAACUUCAAAUCCUUUAGUUGCACGACGCCGUUUCAUAUUUGCUGCAAACGGCAGCCUAAUGGUCUACCGUUUCCUCUAACGCUGGCGAUUUAACUUUCAUUUCAUUUAUGUAUAUAUAUACAGAAGUCUACAAACCCAGAGCCCUCAUUUUCCUCAAACGCAAGGAAGACUCAAUCCUCCAUUCGAUCAGUCCGGCGACUCCAAUUAUGAUGAUUCGUCCCCAUCCUCAUAUCCAUCUGGAAAGAAAUAGAACUUCCCGAAUCUCUAGUUGAUUUGUGCUUUUUUGCUCAAGGAAAAAAAAGAAGAUAAGGUUUUGCUGCUUGCGUACAAAUUUGAUUUCGUUUCAUUUUGUGUUUUAUAAAUUGACUUUCUUUUGAUUUUACAUGCCGCUGCUGAUGAAACUGAAACGAUUUGUUUUGAAUUUUUUGGUGAAGAUGAUUUAGAUGGAAUUUUUAGAUUGGAGGUUAAUCAAUUUACGGGUUUUGAAUCCAUGAACAUACAAUUUUUCUUGCACAGACUUAAGAAUAAAUUUUUUUCUUGAACAGCUUUAAACUAAUCCGUGUACGUUCAGGGGGAAUAGUUGAAUCUGUGCCAAUGAUCCUUUAAGAGUGGAGAAAUUCUAAGAUCUGAAGAGAAGAUUUGGGAUAGGAGGGGGGAGUUUAGAGAGAGAGAGAGGAGGGGGGACGUGGUUGGAAACGGAAAAGGAGAGCAGUGUUAAGCUGCCGUUUGCAGCAAAUAUGAAACGGCGUCGUGCAACUAAAUGAUUUGAAGUUGCAAGUUGCUAGUUUAAUCUCAGCCGUCGGAUGCCUUCAUUAAUGAGGUGUCAAGUUGUAGUGAAAAGCUUUGGUAGAUGGUUAGAGAGAGGUGUGGAGAGGAUCCUAAUCCACACCAAACAAGCAGGUGUGGAGGAAACUGGGUUGUUAAAGUUAAAAAUAAACUAUAGGUUUCCUAACCCCAACAUGUCAAGCUAAUGAGUGAUGACUAUUCACAAACUUAAUUAAAAAAAGAAGAAGAUACAAACAGAUACAAGGUAAUCCUUUGCUCCCGGUAACAAGUAGGAAGCAGGAAGGACAAUCAGUAUUGUUAAUUAGCAGUCGAAGUCACAUGUUUACGAUUAUGCAUAAAAGUUUGUAUAAAUUGUAUAUA
Rhododendron vialii is the source of this 1326-nucleotide long non-coding RNA. RefSeq lists it as uncharacterized. The record is from RefSeq and is a predicted model, not a curated record. The transcript is spliced from 3 exons. NCBI's taxonomy places the organism in Eukaryota, Viridiplantae, Streptophyta, Magnoliopsida, Ericales, Ericaceae.